This 335-nucleotide long non-coding RNA is filed under the name Olea europaea subsp. europaea. Lineage: Eukaryota; Viridiplantae; Streptophyta; Magnoliopsida; Lamiales; Oleaceae. The record is from RNAcentral.
CACAUUUUCAUUUUGACAAAGAGCAAAUCAAACGGAUAUAACAAAAUCCAGGCCUUAAAGUCAAGAAGAAAAAAAAUUUGAUAUUUCUGUGUCUCUGUGUGUGUGUGUGUGGCUGUGAGAGAGAGAGAGAGAGAGAAGGGGCAUACCUAAACUGAUGAAUGAGAAGAGAAUUUGAAGAAAUGGAGAUAUGGAGGAUUAGAGUUUUGGAUUUGGGAUUUGUUUAAUAUGUUUGCUGGGAAAUUUUGUUGAAGAAAAGGUGCAGAAUAUUAUAGAUAUUUGUGAAAAUUAAGAGUAACUGAGAAAAGGAAAGGGAAAAAGUGUGAAACUGAACACAC